RNAcentral lists this ribosomal RNA (274 nucleotides) under uncultured bacterium. Its description in RNAcentral is "partial 16S ribosomal RNA". It matches the Rfam family "Bacterial small subunit ribosomal RNA", at positions 523 to 796 of the family's 1533-position model. The record is from RNAcentral.
AUACGGAGGGUCCAAGCGUUAUCCGGAAUCAUUGGGUUUAAAGGGUCCGUAGGCGGGCAAUUAAGUCAGAGGUGAAAUCCCACAGCUCAACAGCGGAACUGCCUUUGAUACUGGUUGUCUUGAAUUAUAGUGAAGUAGAUAGAAUAUGUAGUGUAGCGGUGAAAUGCUUAGAUAUUACAUAGAAUACCGAUUGCGAAGGCAGUCUACUAACUGUAUAUUGACGCUGAUGGACGAAAGCGUGGGGAGCGAACAGGAUUAGAAACCCUAGUAGUCC